AUUCAGCGAUAGGAUUCGAACCCACAGUGUUCCGCAUACCGGGCAGAUGCCAUGUCCACUAGGCUACCCUAGA
Molecule: transfer RNA, 73 nt
Filed under: Cordylochernes scorpioides
Lineage: Eukaryota; Metazoa; Arthropoda; Arachnida; Pseudoscorpiones; Chernetidae
Description: tRNA-Thr
Source: RNAcentral